RNAcentral lists this ribosomal RNA (253 nucleotides) under uncultured bacterium. RNAcentral describes it as "partial 16S ribosomal RNA". It matches the Rfam family "Bacterial small subunit ribosomal RNA", at positions 524 to 776 of the family's 1533-position model. The record is from RNAcentral.
UACGGAGGGUGCAAGCGUUGUUCGGAAUUACUGGGCGUAAAGGGCGUGUAGGCGGUGUGGUAAGUCAGAUGUGAAAGCCCUGGGCUCAACCCAGGAAGUGCAUUUGAAACUGCCAUGCUUGAGUAUGGGAGAGGAGAGUGGAAUUCCCAGUGUAGAGGUGAAAUGCGUAGAUAUUGGGAGGAACACCCGUGGCGAAGGCGACUCUCUGGACCAAUACUGACGCUGAGGAGCGAAAGCGUGGGGAGCAAACAGG